RNAcentral lists this transfer RNA (73 nucleotides) under Camelus bactrianus (Bactrian camel). It matches the Rfam family "tRNA". From Rfam's summary of the family: Transfer RNA (tRNA) molecules are approximately 80 nucleotides in length. Their secondary structure includes four short double-helical elements and three loops (D, anti-codon, and T loops). The record is from Rfam by way of RNAcentral. RNAcentral also lists the same sequence under 1 other name. Lineage: Eukaryota; Metazoa; Chordata; Mammalia; Artiodactyla; Camelidae.
GAGAGUAUAGCUCAAGUGAUAGAGUGCAUGCUUAGCAUGCAUGAGGUCCUGGGUUCAAUCCCUGGUACCUCCU